GAUGAAGAACGCAGCGAAAUGCGAUAAGUAAUGUGAAUUGCAGAAUUCAGUGAAUCAUCGAAUCUUUGAACGCACAUUGCGCCCCCUGGUAUUCCGGGGGGCAUGCCUGUUCGAGCGUCAUUUCAACCCUCAAGCUCUGCUUGGUAUUGAGUUCAUGUCAGCAAUGGCAGGCUCCAAAAUCAGUGGCGGCGCCGCUGGGUCCUGAACGUAGUAAUAUCUCUCGUUACAGGUGCUCGGCGUGCUUCUGCCAAAACCCCAAUUUUUCUAUGGUUGACCUCGGAUCAGGUAGGGAUACCCGCUGAACUUAAGCAUAUCAAUAAGCGGAGGA
RNAcentral lists this unclassified non-coding RNA (328 nucleotides) under soil metagenome. RNAcentral's name for it is "partial contains 5.8S ribosomal RNA, internal transcribed spacer 2, and large subunit ribosomal RNA". The stretch from base 1 to 120 matches the Rfam family "5.8S ribosomal RNA", at positions 35 to 154 of the family's 154-position model. The record is from RNAcentral.